Vicia faba (fava bean) is the source of this 267-nucleotide non-coding RNA. The record is from the annotation of a GenBank genome assembly. NCBI's taxonomy places the organism in Eukaryota, Viridiplantae, Streptophyta, Magnoliopsida, Fabales, Fabaceae.
AUGGUUAAAAAAGUCAAGUCCUUUUUAUUUAUUAUAAUUAUUCAAUUAAUUGUAUUUAAUUCUUUUUUUAAUAAAAUUUCGACUAAGUUUCACAAAGAAAAAGGAUGUUCCUCAUUUAUUAAGUUUUCAUUACUUUUUUAUGUUCUAUGUUUUUUUUUUAAAUUCAUUUAUUUUAUAAUUAAAAUAGGAAAGUUAGGUGAGCGUUCCUUGUUUUUCGUAUUAUCAUUAUUUUAUUUAGUUAUUUAUUUUAUUAAAGUUUUAAAUUAA